AUUGAACGCUGGCGGCACGCUUAACACAUGCAAGUCGAGCGGUAACAUGGUCUGUAGCAAUACAGACUGAUGACGAGCGGCGGACGGGUGAGUAAGACGUAGGAACCUGCCCAAAAGAGGGGGACAACCAAGGGAAACUUUGGCUAAUACCGCGUAAUCUCGAACGAGGAAAGUUGCCCGCAAGGGUAAUACUUGUGGAGGGGCCUGCGUCCGAUUAGCUAGUUGGUGGGGUAAUGGCUCACCAAGGCAUUGAUCGGUAACUGGUCUGAGAGGACGACCAGUCACACUGGGACUGAGACACGGCCCAGACUCCUACGGGAGGCAGCAGUGGGGAAUCUUGGACAAUGGGGGCAACCCUGAUCCAGCGAUGCCGCGUGGGUGAAGAAGGCCUUCGGGUUGUAAAGCCCUUCAGGUUGGGACGAAGUGUGCGGGGUUAAUACCUCCGCGCAUUGACGGUACCGACAGAAUAAGCACCGGCAAACUCUGUGCCAGCCGCCGCGGUAA
Molecule: ribosomal RNA, 504 nt
Filed under: uncultured bacterium
Lineage: Bacteria
Description: partial 16S ribosomal RNA
Rfam family: Bacterial small subunit ribosomal RNA
Source: RNAcentral